GUCGGGAAUCUUGCACAAUGGGCGAAAGCCUGAUGCAGCAACGCCGCGUGAGGGAUGAAGGCCCUCGGGUCGUAAACCUCUGUCGGAAGGGAAGAAAGUAUUUUGGGCUAAUACCCCAGAGUAUCGACGGUACCUUCAAAGGAAGCGCCGGCUAACUCCGUGCCAGCAGCCGCGGUAAUACGGAGGGCGCGAGCGUUAUUCGGAAUCAUUGGGCGUAAAGCGCGUGUAGGCGGCUGGGUAAGUCGGAUGUGAAAGCCCGGGGCUCAACUCCGGAAUUGCAUACGAAACUGCCCAGCUAGAGUCUCGGAGAGGAGGGCGGAAUUCCCGGUGUAGAGGUGAAAUUCGUAGAUAUCGGGAGGAACACCAGUGGCGAAGGCGGCCCUCUGGACGAUGACUGACGCUGAGACGCGAAAGCGUGGGGAGCAAACAGG
This 431-nucleotide ribosomal RNA is filed under the name uncultured bacterium. RNAcentral's name for it is "bacterial SSU rRNA". It matches the Rfam family "Bacterial small subunit ribosomal RNA", at positions 354 to 776 of the family's 1533-position model. The record is from RNAcentral.